Molecule: long non-coding RNA, 2153 nt
Organism: Cyprinus carpio (common carp)
Lineage: Eukaryota; Metazoa; Chordata; Actinopteri; Cypriniformes; Cyprinidae
Exons: 3
Source: RefSeq, a predicted model, not a curated record
AAAGUAUGGAGAACAGCACGAUGUGCCAGAGAACCACAUUCUCGGGAAAGACACACUCGGACCAUAUAGUCUUAUCCGCUAGGUAACUGCUGUUCCUGUUACAACAAGACAGAAAGAAAAGAGAAGGAGCUUUAGUUGAGGUUUUAGGUGUUCUUACCCUACUGUAUGCUCAAAGGGAUACAGCCAUUGACCAUCCUCAACUUGGCAUUUUGGCCCAACAGCGAGUGCUGCAAUAGCAACACAUGCACAAUAGGCCGACCCAGCAAUGCCAAAUACAGACGAGAAAACAGAAUUCAGCAUCUGAACAAAACAAAAACAGCAUGAAAUGUUUACUCACACGGCAUCGGUUUCCACAGCAACCUGCCCCGCAACAGCCUUUGCCCCCGGCUCUGAUGGCUGAGCAGCUUGGACACAUCAUCUGAUAAAUAAAAGUGAGUGCAAAUUAACUUAUCAGCUGUAAUGUCAAGGAGAUAAGGGUUGCUGUAAAGCAGGUUAAAUAAUAUUUGUCUAAAUUACUUACUCUAUGAUAAACUCUUAAAAAAAAAAAAAGUUUUUUUUAUUGGCAUUUAUGGCAUUUAUUGUUCAUCUCUGAACAUUGAAAAAUGUUCUUCAGAUUAUUAAAAUGUUCUUCACAAUGAGAAAAUUUGUUCUUUAAAUAACUAUUCAAAUGUUUCUUUUGAGAACUCAAAAUUGUUCUUCUGACAUCACUGUACAACAUCCCCUUUUGGAACCUUUAUUUUUAAGAGUGAUUGUUUCUUCAAAAUGAAAACUCUCUCUACUUUUUCUGAAACAUGUUUACUUGCUCAUAGCGUGGUCGUUUGUAAAUGCAAUUAUUGCUUGAAGGGAACAUGAGCUAACUUACGUAACCUCAGGAUUAAUGCAUCCUGGUCAUAUCCAGGAUGUUCAAUACACUCUCAGAAAGGAAAAAAAAAUUAGACGAUACCUUUUCAAAGGGUAAAAAUAUGUGCCAUCAAGGUACUAAUAUGUACACUAAAAUGUACCUUUAAGGUACUUAUAUGCACACUUUAGGGGUAAAUAAGGUAUAAGCAUGUACAUUUUGAAAGGUUUCUGCCCCAGAUUUUGUACCAUUUUUUUCUGAUAGUGUAGUACGAAGUCAAUGUAUUUUUCAGGGUGUGAGCGGUGAAGCUCUGCAUAAUGGACCACUGUUCCUCAUAACUGUACUUGCUCACCGCAGACAUUAUGCUUUUGUUCCUCAAUUCUAAGGUUCUUUUAUUUUUAUUGACUAAUAUUGAUAAUUCAACCAUUCCAAUUUAUUGAUUGGUAUGCUAUAUAUUAUCAGACACAUACAUAAUAAAGUAAAUGGCACAGAAAGGCUUGUAGCAGUCUGUUUGAAGUAUCUGAUGUUCGUGGCUUAAUGGUUAGAGAGUCAAAACUUGUAACUCAAAGGUCACCGGGUUUGAGUCUUGGUACCGGCAGGGAUUGUAGGUGGGGGGAGUGAAUGACUCUCUUCCACCCUCAAUAGCAUGACUGAGGCCCUUGAGCAAGACACCGAACCCCCAACUGCUCCCCGGACGACACAGCAAAAAUGGCUACCCACUACUCUGGGUGUGUGUGUGUGUGUGUGUGUGUGUGUGUGUUCUCUUGGAUGGGACAAAUGUAGAGCACAAAUUCCGAGUAUGGUACACCAUCCUUGGCUACAUUUCACUUCACUUCUAAAACAUCAGGCCAAGUCAGUUCAUGUUCAGGUUAGGAAAUAAUAAAAUUCCUAUUGCACAUUCUCAAAAAAAAGAUCUGUCACUGGGGUGGUUCCCUUUCAAAAUGUACACAUUCUAACCUUAUUUACCCCUACAGGGUGCAUAUAAGGAUCUUAAAGGUACAUAUCAAUACCUAAAGUGUAUAUUGUACUUUAAUGGUACAUAUUUGUACCUUUCAAAAAAACUACCACCCCGGUGAGAACUUCUGUAGCUUUUUUUCUAAAAGUGCAUCUCAUAAUAACAUAAUCUCUUGUUUUCUCAGGAAACAGCCAAGUUCAGACAAACACCACAUUAAUGAUGAGAUAAAUACAACAAACUGAAUUACUCACAAUUAAUCCUCCACCAAGAACACCUCCCAUAAGCCAGACUUGAAGGGAAAUCUGGCCAGUUUCCAACUGUUCUCCAUUAGGGAAGAAUAAAAGUAUAUUUGCUAUUAUA